Molecule: ribosomal RNA, 886 nt
Filed under: Cordyceps javanica
Lineage: Eukaryota; Fungi; Ascomycota; Sordariomycetes; Hypocreales; Cordycipitaceae
Description: partial large subunit ribosomal RNA
Rfam family: Eukaryotic large subunit ribosomal RNA
Source: RNAcentral
UACAUUCAAUAAGCGGAGGAAAAGAAACCAACAGGGAUUGCCCCAGUAACGGCGAGUGAAGCGGCAACAGCUCAAAUUUGAAAUCUGGCCCUCGGGUCCGAGUUGUAAUUUGUAGAGGAUGCUUUUGGCGAGGUGCCUUCCGAGUUCCCUGGAACGGGACGCCAUAGAGGGUGAGAGCCCCGUCUGGUCGGACACCGAGCCUCUGUAAAGCUCCUUCGACGAGUCGAGUAGUUUGGGAAUGCUGCUCAAAAUGGGAGGUAUAUGUCUUCUAAAGCUAAAUAUUGGCCAGAGACCGAUAGCGCACAAGUAGAGUGAUCGAAAGAUGAAAAGCACUUUGAAAAGAGGGUUAAAAAGUACGUGAAAUUGUUGAAAGGGAAGCGCCUAUGACCAGACUUGAGCCCGGUGAAUCAUCCAGCGUUCUCGCUGGUGCACUUUGCCGGGCCCAGGCCAGCAUCAGUUUGGCGCGGGGGAUAAAGGUGACGGGAAUGUGGCUCCCUCGGGAGUGUUAUAGCCCGCUACGUAAUACCCUGCGCCGGACUGAGGUACGCGCAUUGCAAGGAUGCUGGCGUAAUGGUCAUCAGCGACCCGUCUUGAAACACGGACCAAGGAGUCGUCUUCGUAUGCGAGUGUUCGGGUGUCAAACCCCUACGCGUAAUGAAAGUGAACGCAGGUGAGAGCUUCGGCGCAUCAUCGACCGAUCCUGAUGUUCUCGGAUGGAUUUGAGUAAGAGCAUACGGGGCCGGACCCGAAAGAAGGUGAACUAUGCCUGUAUAGGGUGAAGCCAGAGGAAACUCUGGUGGAGGCUCGCAGCGGUUCUGACGUGCGAAUCGAUCGUCAAAUAUGGGCAUGGGGGCGAAAGACUAAUCGAACCUUCUAGUAGCUGGUU